GGUGCGGCGAUUAUUUCACUUGCCUAAGGAACGGGUGUGCUGCGCCCCACUUGCCUAGGGAAAAAACCCGGAAUGUAAAGUCACACUAAAGAAGAUUUGAACACUGUCUGAAAACCUGAGGGUCCAACCAGGGAGGUAACUACUGGAGUUCACUGAGCCUUCUUUUCUAAUUUUUAUUGGGCUGGAAUAAAUGAAAACCUGGCUUGUACCAAAAAAAAUUCUUAGAGCGGAGUCAGUACGGCAACCCCUUAGAGGUCAGAUGCCUCGCCUCACCUUCUUCCUCCCACUUCAGAAGCCAGUUUUAGGACCAAUCCACUAUAGGAGAGGCCUUGAAGCAGGCCCCCAAGGCUCCCCAACAUUUUCCACCGCCAGGAAAACGACUCCGGCUAGCAGUAAGGCAGUCCAGCCUGCCCUUGUCUGAACCUGCGUCCUUGAGACUCAGCCAAACCUCUCCCAGCUUGGCGGAGGGAUGUUGAGGUGACAUUCUUCUCCCUGCCACUCAGCAUCUUUUAAACAGUCCUCCUCCACCUUGGGAGAAUAUGCAUGAACUCACUGCAGACGAGGACCACAGAAGCUGAAAACUCCCUGUCUCCCUGGGAGGGGAAUUCAUUGCAAGUGAAAACUAAGAAUCUGAGAUGUUUCUAAGUUGUUCUGAAGUUCUUGUGGUUGCCAGCGGUAGGAAGAAAUCUCUGUCAGGCGGAGUUAGUGAAUGAGGGACCUAGUUGGCAGGAUGGAGUGUCUCAGGGGGCCGGAUCAGUGGGCCUCAGAAGGACCUGGACUUGAGCCCUGGCAAGGGAGGGGAAGCAGGAGCAGCGACUCCCCACGUCUGCCUGCUGCCAGCUGCACUUGGGUUUCCUCCUGUGCACGGAGUUCACAGCGUCGGGGGCAUGUGGCGGGAGGGGAGCAGGAGGUUGGCACAGGCCUUUUUGGCUCUGGACCACACUGCCUGUAGUGCACCA
Non-coding RNA from Vicugna pacos (alpaca), 959 nucleotides. The record is from RefSeq and is a predicted model, not a curated record. NCBI's taxonomy places the organism in Eukaryota, Metazoa, Chordata, Mammalia, Artiodactyla, Camelidae.